RNAcentral lists this ribosomal RNA (1308 nucleotides) under Klebsiella sp. Its description in RNAcentral is "bacterial SSU rRNA". It matches the Rfam family "Bacterial small subunit ribosomal RNA", at positions 36 to 1268 of the family's 1533-position model. The record is from RNAcentral. Lineage: Bacteria; Pseudomonadati; Pseudomonadota; Gammaproteobacteria; Enterobacterales; Enterobacteriaceae.
CUAAGAUGCGUGAAGUACGCACCGGCAGUCGAGCGGUAGCUCAGAGAGCUGGCUCUCGGGUGACGAGCGGCGGACGGGUGAGUAAUGUCUGGGAAACUGCCUGAUGGAGGGGGAUAACUACUGGAAACAAGGAUGAACUAAUACCCGGCAUAAAAUUUCGCAAACGACAAAAAGUCGGGGGGACCUUUCGGGCCUUUCAAGCCCAUCAAAAAUGUGCCCCAAGAUGGGGAUUAAGCUAGUUAAGGGGGGGUAAAGGCUCUAACCUACGGCGGACCGAUCCCUUAGCUGUGUCUUGAGAGGGAUGACCCAGCCCACACGGGAAAUUGAGACCACGGUCCAAGACUCCUACGGGGAGGAAGCAGUGGGGAAUAUUGCACAAUGGGCGGCAAGCCUGAUGCAGCCAUGCCGCUGUGUGUGAAGAAGGCCUUCGGGGUUGUAAAGCACUUUCAGCGGGGAGGAAGGGCGAUAAGGUUAAUAACCUUGUCGAUUGACGUUACCCGCAGAAGAAGCACCGGCUAACUCCGUGCCAGCAGCCGCGGUAAUACGGAGGGUGCAAGCGUUAAUCGGAAUUACUGGGCGUAAAGCGCACGCAGGCGGUCUGUCAAGUCGGAUGUGAAAUCCCCGGGCUCAACCUGGGAACUGCAUUCGAAACUGGCAGGCUAGAGUCUUGUAGAGGGGGGUAGAAUUCCAGGUGUAGCGGUGAAAUGCGUAGAGAUCUGGAGGAAUACCGGUGGCGAAGGCGGCCCCCUGGACAAAGACUGACGCUCAGGUGCGAAAGCGUGGGGAGCAAACAGGAUUAGAUACCCUGGUAGUCCACGCCGUAAACGAUGUCGAUUUGGAGGUUGUGCCCUUGAGGCGUGGCUUCCGGAGCUAACGCGUUAAAUCGACCGCCUGGGGAGUACGGCCGCAAGGUUAAAACUCAAAUGAAUUGACCGGGGCCCGCACAAACGGUGGAGCAUGUGGUUUAAUUCGAUGCAACGCAAAAAACCUUACCUGGUCUUGACAUCCACAGAACUUUCCAGAGAUGGAUUGGUGCCUUCCGGAACUGUGAAACAGGUGCUGCAUGGCUGUCGUCAACUCCUGUUGUGAAAUGUUGGGUUUAAGUCCCCCAACCAAGCGCAACCCUUUAUCCUUUGUUUGCCAGCGGUUCAGGCCCGGGAACUCCAAAGGAAAACUGCCCAGUCAUUAAACUUGGACGAAAGAGUGGGGGAUGAACGUCCAAGUCAUCAUUGGCCCCUUUACGAACCAGGGCGUACACCACCUGCCUACAAAUGGGCAUAGUACGGAAAGAAAAAACGAACCUUCCUC